Daktulosphaira vitifoliae (grape phylloxera) is the source of this 566-nucleotide long non-coding RNA. RefSeq lists it as uncharacterized. The record is from RefSeq and is a predicted model, not a curated record. The transcript is spliced from 3 exons. NCBI's taxonomy places the organism in Eukaryota, Metazoa, Arthropoda, Insecta, Hemiptera, Phylloxeridae.
GUCGUCAAUGGUGACAAGUUAUCUAAAACGGAUUCGAAUUGCUCGACUCACAAAAACGAACAAACAACAAUAACACCUAUAUUAAUAAAUAAACCGAUAAAAACAACAAAAUCCAAGAUUUGCGGUCACUGCAAAUGUCAUACGUCAAAUGCGCACAAUUGUUAUCGUUAAAAAUUAUUUCCGAAUAAGGCUGUUGUCGGAACGGAACGAAACAAACGAGUGAUGAGCGUUCUUCAGAGUCUGAAGAUGAUAAUUUAAAACAAUGUAAUAACUGCGGAGAAAAACCAAAACAAUCGAAUCCGAAGAUUAGAGCUAAGCUAAAAUUAGGUCUACAUUACUGUAAAUUUGGAACAUGUUGAUGUUGUGUACUAUAUGAAACUCAGAAAUAAUUAGUAGGGCUGUUAAUUUUUCAAGAUAAUUCUAAAAUAUUAAGUAGACAGAAAAAAGUUUUACGCAUUUCUUUUUAGAUUUCAUGUUUAAUACGACUACUAAUAUUUAUUAUUUAACUAAGAGAUAUAAUUGUAUUUUGUGUACGUAUAAUUUAAUAAUAAUUAGUCGUUUCGAGA